RNAcentral lists this long non-coding RNA (1072 nucleotides) under Anas platyrhynchos platyrhynchos (common mallard). RNAcentral describes it as "lncRNA (ENSAPLG00000026031.1)". The record is from RNAcentral. Lineage: Eukaryota; Metazoa; Chordata; Aves; Anseriformes; Anatidae.
GUUUGUUUGUUUUGUCCUAAUGCCACCUUGCCAAUUAAAAAAAAAAAUGGGAAUUAAAAAAUUGGGAAUGUUUUCUAUACAUAUAUAUUUCUAUGAAGUAACAUGAAAAUAUGAUAUCAAAUUAAAAAAAAAAAAAAAGCUUCUGGGUGAAUAAGGGGUUAUAAAUAUUGCUACAAACAUGAGAUAGUAUUAUUAAGGAACAGUUACGAAGUGAUGCUCUGGGAUUCUUAAACUGGUUUUAUGCUUACUGAUGUUUAGAGACCCAGCAAGAGUUCAUGAUAAGCUAAAGGAUUGAUUAAGCAAAUGUCAAAUAACUUAUUUUGUAGUUCACUAUUAAAGAGAUACAACUUGGUGAAAAAUUUAAAUUUUCUCUAAUUUCAAUGCCUUUUCCAAAAGACUAAUGGUGAGGAAGUAAUAAGGCUUUUGUGGUAGUAAUGGUAUUAGAAAUAUUAGGAGUAUUUAGAAAUAGUAAUAGUGUUUUUAUUCAUGUUUGUAUGUAAAAUAGAUGCAUGGAGAAAAAAGGAGUCAUCUGUGGUGCCGGGGAAGGCUUCGCAUUAUGUGCUGAGCAAUACUCAAUGAAUGAUGAUUCUGAUGUUUUUGCAUGAUUCCUCCCAUAUUAAUAAAAACCAGCUAUUCAAAGGAUCCCUUUGUCUCAAGAGGACUAGAAAGGAAUCUUUCACAAAGAUUUUCUCUCAGUUGUGGUAUUGCUGAUGUCAAGCAUGCAGAAAUCAUGAGUCAGCACUCCAAAAGUCACGAGACUUUAUUAAAAAAAUAUAUCUUUUAAAAUAUAGAUGUGGCACUUUUUGGAGCCUUUGUGUUAAAUGUAUGACAUUCUAUUAUUUUCAUCUGCAACAGGAAAAUAUAUUUGUUGGAACAGAAGUAGAAAAAAGAAGAAAAAGAUGAUCUUUUAAAUAAUUUGCACAACUCCCCAGAGCUGGGUUUGAAGCAAGUUUGGAGCGUUACAAACAUUGCAACGUAAUUGCAGGUGUUGGCAACAUGGCAAUUAUUUGUGAGAACUUUGAUUUAAAUUGAGGUCAAUAAAAACAAAUGAAAAAACUGACUGAAAGAAAAG